This is a long non-coding RNA of Alnus glutinosa, 209 nucleotides long. RefSeq lists it as uncharacterized. The transcript has 3 exons. NCBI's taxonomy places the organism in Eukaryota, Viridiplantae, Streptophyta, Magnoliopsida, Fagales, Betulaceae. The record is from RefSeq and is a predicted model, not a curated record.
GAAAUGCAUGCAAGUGGACUGGAGGGACCCAUCCCACCAAAUAUAUCUCUUCUGAGUAAUUUACAAGAGUUGAGGAUUAGUGAUAUAGAUGGGCCAAAUCAGGAUUUUCCUAUGUUGAUAAACAUGUCUGGCCUAGUAAGAUUGGUUUUGAGAAACUGUAAGAUUUUUGGGGAGAUCCCUUCAUACAUCUGGACAACGAAGAAUCUGCA